This 19-nucleotide unclassified non-coding RNA is filed under the name Chlamydomonas reinhardtii. RNAcentral's name for it is "small RNA Cre_3201". Lineage: Eukaryota; Viridiplantae; Chlorophyta; Chlorophyceae; Chlamydomonadales; Chlamydomonadaceae. The record is from RNAcentral.
UGCUGUGACUGCUUAUGCA